Daucus carota subsp. sativus is the source of this 770-nucleotide long non-coding RNA. RefSeq lists it as uncharacterized. NCBI's taxonomy places the organism in Eukaryota, Viridiplantae, Streptophyta, Magnoliopsida, Apiales, Apiaceae. The transcript has 2 exons. The record is from RefSeq and is a predicted model, not a curated record.
GGCGGGUUAAAUUUUUUCAGUGAGCGGGCUUGCUUUUCAUCUUCCAAAAUUGUGUUUUGAUACUAGCGGGCUGGUCAUAUUUUCUAUCUUUCUCAUUUCUUACUUCUGUUCUUGCCGAACUUCACAAAAACCUAAAUUGUCACAUCUGAAAACCUCCCCACAAAAUCCCAUCUGAAAACACAUCUUCAGCCUAAUCGAAGCUUACAAGGUUUCUUUGGAGGAGAACGAAGAGGAGAUUCAUAGCUUUCAUUGAAAAAAAACGGCAAAGCAAUCGGAUGCGCGAUUCAAGAGUUAUGGACAAAGAAGUGGGCUGCUGAAUUGGGGCACCCGCCCAAAAUCUAGCGCACCCGCCCCAAAUCUGGCGCACCCGCACCAAACUGGCAGCGAAUUUAAGCCCGUUUGCCCGUUUCUGAUCCGUUUCAAGGCCCGAUCGCUGGGGAAGUUUAAGAAAGGCUUGGGGGGACUAAAGUAAUAACCUAGAAACAUUCUAAGGAGCACGUGACGGCUACGGAGAAGAUCAAGAAUGAAUUUCAUAGCUUUUACUUUUGUAAUUCUUCGAAGUAGGCGUAACUUUGGAUGCUCGUUUCGGAUUUGUUUCUUAACUCUUGUUCUAGUACUUUGAUUUUGUUUUUCCUAUUCAGUACCAUGUUUACAUUCGAACCCAUGAUGAUGAGAAGUUCGAUUAUGAACUAAUCAUUGUCAUGGGAUUUUAGCGGAUUUAUCGAUGAAUUUCAGUAGUUAAAUUGCCUUGUUCAUAUGUGAUGGUUUAA